Long non-coding RNA from Alosa sapidissima (American shad), 2055 nucleotides. RefSeq lists it as uncharacterized. NCBI's taxonomy places the organism in Eukaryota, Metazoa, Chordata, Actinopteri, Clupeiformes, Clupeidae. The transcript has 2 exons. The record is from RefSeq and is a predicted model, not a curated record.
ACCUGCAUUGCAUGCUGGGAACUCCAGCUGCAAUCAUCCAUCUCGUGCUACCCCACCCCCAUCACUCUUCUGCUACACACACCACCCCUGUCCCCAGCAGCAUCCUUGGAGGAUCACGAAAGGGUGUGUGUGUGCACGACUGCGUGUGUGUGAGUGUGUGUUCACUCACACAGUGUGUCUGCUGUGUGUGUGUGUGUGUAAGCAGAACAAGAAGGGGGGCGGGGUAUCAGGGUGGUGGUGAUGUCAUUUUGAGUCCCCUCUCCUCCAGUAGCAGGGUAUGCAGAGAGAGGAGGAGGAGAAGAGAGCCGGUACAGAGACAAGGAUGGAGGGAGGCAUCGAGGAGGUCGCAGAGAAAGACGUGUUCUCAAAAGACAGGAACAGGACCUCAGAAAAAACUCUGGAUGUCUUCUAAGAGGCUCUCCCUCCACGGUCAUUCUUGCUGGACGCUCCAUUGACACUGCAGGACUGUUCCUGGGCACCCAACACACAGGAGAGGGGGACACGGCACUCUGAGGGCACCUACAGUCCAGCUACGGGCUGGAUGACUCACUCUCAUCACCCAGUCCCCACCCAACUACUACUGCAACAGUGAGAGCUUGGAUGUGGUGGACGCCGAUUUUCUGCACAUGGGACAGAGCUGUUUUCCUUACCUGUCGUGGAUGGUGCGUGUGUGGCAGUGGAUGUGGAUGUGUGUGAACAUUUAAACACUCAUAGCAUUACCAGAGAGAGUAAAAGAGGGAGGUUACAGAGAGAGAGAGAGAGAGAGAGAGAGGGGAGCAGAGAGAGAAGAGAGGGCGUGAGAGAUAUUUGAUCCACAGAAGACUGGAGAAGAUGUGGUGGAGGAGGGGAUGUUUUCGUGGCAGCACCGCUGGUGGGGAUAAGCUCUUGUAAAUAUUUACCUCGCGCGCUCCGGGAGCGGUGCCACUGAACCCGUGAACUCUGAACUCCCGCCAACCUUCUCCCCCUGGGCAGCCUCAGGCGCUGCACCCAAGCGAGGCGGCUACCUGUUGCGUUGGAGACGCACACAAAGCAAGUCUGCCUGGCUAGCCGCCUACCUUCCUGAGUGACUGAUGCCUCUGAUGCCCCUUUCAUCGUCCCACUCGCUCACUCUCACUCCUCUUCACUGCCUCCCCAUUCAGUCACCCGUCUGUGUGUGAAACCCCAGGGCAAAAAGCCAUGAUGUCAGGAGAGGUCUAGUCCCCACUGGUCAGACAGAAGACAAGUCAUACUAUCACCUUACACCAGUCACUCAGACUUUCCCAGACUUUCACCAGUGUGUGUGUGUGUGUGUGUGUGUGUGUGUGUGUAAUGUCUGAGCGCGUGUCACCGUCAGAUCAUCAAGGUGUUUAUGGCUCAGUGCCGAAGGUGAAUCAGUGGGGAUGUGGCAGUGGUUGAAUGUGUAAAGACUGACAGUUUUUUUUCUGCUGCGGUAACAGAUGCCAUUCUCGCCAAUGUGCCCUGAAACACCAGAUAUCCACAUAAAAGAUGUCUGUGAGUGCUUAUCUACUGCUAUCAGAAGUCACACCAGAGGCUGUUUCAUUUUCUACAGCAAACAGGAGCAUUUGUGUGGAAGGGAUCUGAUGUGUGUUUAAGACUGCAUAUCGAGAAGAUCAGUAUAUGUGUGUGCCUGCGGGUGUGCAUGUCAGUUUGUCCAGUUGUCCAGUUUGUGUGAUCGACACCAUGGGCUGUGCCAUCUGCACUCAGCUGGUGAACGCGUGGAGCGGGUUCACAUGGAAGGGAGGUCGGAGCGUCAGGCAGGCCUGUCCAGAGGUGCCCUCGCAGGAGUACCACCGGCUGUCCGGCCUCCAUUACACCUCCUCCUUCUCCGACGCUGAGGACUGCUGCGAUGACCUCUCCUCCCUCAGCACCUCCUCGUCCUCCGAUUACCUAGAAACUGAAUACUUGGACGAUUUGGAGGCAUGACAUACCCGCGUCUGAGAGGAUGCCGGGUUUUUAUUACUAUUAAUAUACUGCACCAAAGCUUUCCUUGAUUCAGUUGCUUGUCAUUUGCAUCUUUAUGCACCUCACUUGAUUAAAUGCUGAUGAUGAAGAUUG